Molecule: ribosomal RNA, 705 nt
Filed under: Candidozyma duobushaemuli
Lineage: Eukaryota; Fungi; Ascomycota; Pichiomycetes; Serinales; Metschnikowiaceae
Description: LSU rRNA
Rfam family: Eukaryotic large subunit ribosomal RNA
Source: RNAcentral
CAUGCUAUUUCCUCAAAUCAGGUAGGACUACCCGCUGAACUUAAGCAUAUCAAUAAGCGGAGGAAAAGAAACCAACAGGGAUUGCCUCAGUAACGGCGAGUGAAGCGGCAAGAGCUCAACUUUGGAAUCGCUCCGGCGAGUUGUAGUCUGGAGGCGGCCGGUCCGCCUUGCGCAACCAAAUCUAAGUCCUCUGGAACGAGGCGCUUGAAAGGGUGACAGCCCCGUGGAUUUUUGUUGUUGUGCUUGGCCCCUGGUCUGCCGACGAGUCGAGUUGUUUGGGAAUGCAGCUCUAAGUGGGUGGUAAAUUCCAUCUAAAGCUAAAUACCGGCGAGAGACCGAUAGCGAACAAGUACAGUAAUGGAAAGAUGAAAAGCACUUUGAAAAGAGAGUGAAACAGUACGUGAAAUUGUUGAAAGGGAAGGGCUUGCAGCUAGACAACUGUCAGCAUCGGGUGGAGCGGAACUAAAAGUGGGAGCUGAUGUAGCAACCCCCCCGGGGUUGCAUUAUACAACUCUCAGAUGGUUCCUGCUUCGCCCGAGGAUCGCCUAUUUGAAGGAUGCUGGCGCAAUGGCUGCAAGCCACCCGUCUUGAAACACGGACCAAGGAGUCUAACGUCUAUGCGAGUGUACGGGUGGAAAACCCCUGCGCGGAAUGAAAGUAAGAGGUUGGAGCCCGCAAGGGUGCACAAUCGACCGACCUGGAAGU